ACCUGUCUUGUCACAGCUUUAACAAAUUAAGCAAAGUUGCAUUCUCAAGUCUCAACCCUUCUCUACCCAGUUCUCUUCCCCUCGAUCUAUCAUAGGUUAAAAAAAACAUUAUUAAAAAAGAAGAAGAAGAAGAAAUGCCUUGCCUAGAUAUAUCUACUAACGUCAACCUGGAUGGAGUGGACGUCGACUCAUUCUUCAAAGAAGCCACCACCGCCGUCGCCAACAUCAUCGGAAAACCCGAAAAGUAUGUGAUGAUUGUACUGAAAGGAUCAGCAAACAUACAUUUCGGAGGGAAUAAGGAAGCAGCUGCUUUUGCUGAGGUUGUGUCCAUGGGAGGCAUCAAUUCAGAGGUUAAGAAGCAGCUUAUUUCUUCAAUUGGUUCAAUUAUGGAGGCCAAUUUCUCCAUUCCCAGGACUAGGUUUUUCCUCAAAGUUUUUGAUACCACUUUGGCUAAAAAGCUCUCCAAAAUCUGAGAUCACAAUUUAAUAGGACUCAUAAAUGUAUCCAACAUUUACCAAAUAAUAAAGAUUAAUUAUAUUAAACAUUGACAAAUAA
This is an RNA transcript of Ipomoea nil (Japanese morning glory), 555 nucleotides long. It is a transcript of the gene named macrophage migration inhibitory factor homolog, with no coding region annotated. The record is from RefSeq and is a predicted model, not a curated record. NCBI's taxonomy places the organism in Eukaryota, Viridiplantae, Streptophyta, Magnoliopsida, Solanales, Convolvulaceae. The transcript is spliced from 3 exons.